UUAAAUCAAGAGUUUCCCCUCAAAAUUCCCUCCAUCCUUUUGAUUUUCUUAACAUCCAAAUACCUUUUCUUCUUCAAUUUCAAAAGAAAUUCAUUCUUUCUCUUUCAAUUUUCUAUUAACACUUAGCUCGUUUUUGCUCAAAUUGAUCAAAUUUCAUGGAGAUCUUCAAAUUAAAGGUAAACAUUCUGAUUUCUUAUGGUUUAAACAUUUAUUAUGUGAUUUCAAUUCAAACUUUUACAGAUCUAAUCAAGAAAACCUAAGAUCUAUGGUUUUAAAGCUUGAUUUUGAUUAAAAAUGGUGGGUCUUUUAGUAAUGAGCUAAGAGAUGGUUAUAAAACAAUUAUUAACUUAUUUUGAGGUAAUUAAGAGGUUUACAAACUUGAUUUAACAAAACCUUAAAGAAUUUUCAUGAAUCAAAUGAUUUUCUUCUUUGAGAUGGAAGACAAACGUGAUUUUCCGAAAAAAAGUUGAUUUGUGAAAUUGAAUGGAAUUAAUGGUCCAGAUCUGCAAUUAAACACUAGUUAUGAGAUUAGGAAGUAAGGAUUAGGGGUUUAACUGAGUUAAAAACAAAGUAAUUUUAAGAUUAAAGUUAGGCGAGUUGAGCUCGCCAGUUUGUAAGAAUGGCGAGCUGCUAUUGGGUUGUUAAGAGUUUAUUUUGUUAGUGAAUGUUAGUAAUCUGUGUGUUUCAUGUUAUAUGCAAAGCCUCUCAAUGCAAAGGUGCGUCCAUGAGCAAGGACAAGGGCAUGCAGAAGGUGGUGUAGCUUCGGGAAGCAACAGCGAACUGCAAGUGAGUGUUUUUGCAUAUCGCACUUAAACACCAGUUCCCGUGCUCAAGAAAGUCCAGGAUAGACAUGCGAACCGUGUUAUAUUUUUAUGCGAGCCCUGAUUUGUGACUUGCGAACCCUGAUAUCAAGUGUGAGUGCUAUGUACAUUGUGUGCAAGCCUAUCCUGUAUGCAAGCCAUUGAUAUGUGCGAGCCUUAAGUGACAUGGGAACCCCAUACAUUGUUUGCGAACCCGUAUGAUUUAUGUGAACCCCUUGCAUUUGAGAUCCCUGUCGCAUAUUAUGCGAACCUUUACAAUUGUGUGAGCUUAUGUGUGUGCGAGCUCUGUAUUAUGCGAGCCUAUAUACAUGUGCGAGCUCUAUGUUGUGUGCGAGCCAUAUACUGAAUGGGAACCUUGAAUAUGUGCGAACCCAUAUGUGUAUUGGGAGCCCUAUUGUAAUGUGAGUGGUGAAUGUGUUAAAAAAAAGAUAUAUUGGCAUUGUGAACACUUGAAAUCAUUGGAAAUCAUUAUGAACACUCAAGAUUAAUGUACGCUACACUAUGAACAUCACAAGUGAAUAAAUUUAUAAACAGACUUAGGAUUUAUUCUGCUUAGGUCAUAUCUAAUAU
Molecule: long non-coding RNA, 1391 nt
Filed under: Gossypium barbadense (sea-island cotton)
Lineage: Eukaryota; Viridiplantae; Streptophyta; Magnoliopsida; Malvales; Malvaceae
Description: long non-coding RNA (GBAR_LNC017603)
Source: RNAcentral